GAAAAAAAAAAAAAAAAAAAAAAAAAAAGGGAACAGCAUGAGGACCAUUUCACACCCAGGAGCUAGGAUGAGGCUGUCCAUUCUGCACAUUGGAGGAGAGAGGCCCUCACCUCUUACACUUUUUGGUGAGAGGCCCGGAGACAGACUAGGACUGCCCCGCUCCCUCUCUCCGGUUCCCAGAGGCUGCUUCUGGCCAGUUUCUCCAAAAGGAGGGUCUGGUUUCCCCAGGGUCCCCAAGGCCCGGCAGGUGGGGGCGGGGCGGCCGAAGUCUCGGUUCCUCCUGGGGUUUCCUGCAGGCCCCUUUCACUUCCUGCCUGGCAGCCAAGGUCAGGGGCUCAGCGUAGGGGCGGGGAUGCCCAGCUGGUCUCUGAGGCUGGUCAGAGAGGAAGACUUGACCCUCGCUCGUCUCAGCAGGGAACCCUCCCCGCAAGCCCUGUUCUGGGCCACUUCCAUCUCUACAAAAUGGGGCUCCUUUGAGAUUACAGAGGACAUGAGCCUGCAGGGCCUGGGCCAGGGCAAGCCACCAGCAGGUCUGGAAGCAGGCGGGACUGCAGUUCCACAGGGACAACUGCCUGGGGCACGGAGGCCGUCAGCGAGGACCUGGGAGGACACGGAUGUCCCCGUUCCGGGUCAGGACUCCGCAAGGCGCUGCAGCUUGUGUGUGGGGAGUGCUGGACGCUCAGGAGUCCCUGACCCAGAAAACCACUAAGCGUUUCCACUUCCCCAAACCGCAGAGAACCAGGGAUCCUACCCCGAACCGGGACCCUGAAGCGACUCCAGGGUAGGUGAAAGUCGACCUGCGCGACUCCUGCGGUCAGCUCCACCUUGACCACCAGCAGCUGGGUUCUGGUGAGGAGAGGGUGGGGCAAUGGGCGGGAGGAUGGGCGGGGCCACGGGAGGGCGGGGCCGGCAGUCGACCAAAGGGGCGGGGCCAAGAUGCCUUCUUUCAACUCCUGACCUGUGGACGCGCACUCGUCCCAGAAGUCAAGCGCGAGAUGCUCACUGCAACCCGAACCAGGGAUCCAGCUCCAGGGCGACAGGGGAGGAGCUGCGGCACGCCUCCCCACGCCCACCCCGGCUCUGAUGGCCCGGUGGCUGCGCAGUGUGCCCUGUCCUGUCAGCUCCCUCGCCACGUCGUGGUGAUCGGUGACCAUUCCCUGGGGCCUCCGGAGGGCCUGAUUGGGUGGAUUCGGGCAGAGGGAUUACCUGAGACUCCCGAGGUGCGUGAUGUUGGAGAGGGGAGGCCAAGCCUCAGCUCCCAGCACCCCGAUGCCACCGCUCCCCCUAGUCUUCAGGAGCCUGAGCACCCGCUCCCUCCUACAAGCAGCUGGAGGCUGAGUCACGCUGCUCUCGGGAGACAAAAGCAGCUGUGUGAGCCCUCCCUCCAGACCCGCUCCUGUUGCAGCAUUUGCACUGACGAAAGCCCAUCCACUGUCCCCUCCCCAGAAUCUCUGCUCGAGGCUAAGCCUCCACCCAGGAGGAAUUUAAGUGGAUUUAGAGACAAGGUCCUUCUAGCUUGGGAGUGGCAACUCUGUCACAAUCACCACGCUCUGUUGAAUGUUCCCAGGGAUGGGGAUGGGGCCCCGUCCUCUCCCUGCAGCCCUGCCAUGGAGGUGCAGAUGAGACAGUGGAGGCCCAGAAAGGUAGACUGGCUCCAAGACCCCAGGAAUUCCAGCCAGCCGGGCACUGGGGACAGCACGGAAACUAGAGUCUGGAGCGGAGCGGUUUCACUCAGUCACUCGGCCUUCGGCAAAUAUCCCACAGAGACCUGAGCUUGGGACAUCCUCUGCCGCUCAGGUGGAGGAGCACCUCCCCAGGCAGGUUUCAGGGCUGCAGCCCAAGUCCCCACAUUGUCCGGGUGGGUGGAGAGCUCUCCUUUCCCUGCUCCUGGCUUCUCUUCUCAUCUGCAUCUAGUCACACUCUCUCCUGAAGCUGGCACGGGCCUGGAACCACUCCACCUUAAAAAAAAAAUAAAAGAAGAAGAAGAAGAAGAAAAGAAAAAGAAACCUGAGCCUGGGGUUAAUUGGCACCCCAGUCCAUGCCCUCCCUCCGGACUGAUGUCCCUUGGGGGGGGCAGUGAGGGUGUCAUAUUAACCUCUACAACCUGCAGGAGGCAGAUUAUGAAUCUGCUAUUGAGGAACAGUUUACUUUUGAAGUAAGGUCUCCUCCCUCUGUUGCCUAGGCUGACCUCCAACUCUUGAGCUGAAGAGAUUUUUCCGCCUCAGCUUCCCAAACAGCUGGGGAUUUACAGGCAAGAGCCUCUCACUGCCUGAAGGAAGUAUCUGAUAUUAACUUGAGAAACCGAGGCAGGGAGCCGCAAGGUGCUGCAGCAUAGCCACAUUUGCCAGUUCGACUCAACAUACGACCACAUUUGCCAGUUCGGCUCGACGUUCUGAACAUACGACCGGGCCACCCCCUGUGCCAGGGCCAGGUUCCAACCUUUUCCCUCAGUUCUUGCCAGGGCUUGUGAAAGGACCUGGGGGCCGCCCUCCACUGACCCUGCCUCAAGGCCGGGCACAGCCCCACUCUUCGAAGGCGGAGGAUGGCGCGAUUUCCACCCUGCCACAUUAGGGGAAGGGAGCAGAUCACAGGAGGCCGCUGCCCCGGCCAGGUAGACGCGGAGGGGUUGGUUGGCCAGGCGCCUCUGGAACCCGGCGGGUGCCCUGGGGUGAAUACGCGCUGCAAAGAAGAUCCGCGCUGGAAAGGGGGGUUAUUUCCCAGGGACCCGGGCUGCAGGGUCGAGGCGAAUCGAGGGGAAGGGGUCAAUUAGAAAGGACAGGGAGGACCAAAAGGAGGCUCGAUGGCAGACUCCGCCCGAGCUGCUCGCCCUCCGUGGUUCUGCGCCUCAGCCGCCGCACCUGGAAAGCCCGCUUGUGCUCGUCGCGGGCCGGACGUCCAAGCUCAGCAGUGCCGGGAGUGGUCGGCUGCAGGGCUGUUUGGGGGCGUCUAGGGAGGGUCCCUGGGAGCGGC
Molecule: long non-coding RNA, 2970 nt
Filed under: Fukomys damarensis (Damara mole-rat)
Lineage: Eukaryota; Metazoa; Chordata; Mammalia; Rodentia; Bathyergidae
Description: lncRNA (ENSFDAG00000032402.1)
Source: RNAcentral